UGACGCCAUCAACACGCGACCAGCCCGCUGGAAGGAAGCCAAGCUCGGGACAGAAAAUGCUUCGGUGGCUCCCGGCCGGUGGCGCCCUGGGGCCUUUAGGAGGUCACGGUGCUGGCGAAAGAGCAAUGAGGGAGCGAGCUUCUUUACUACAUGUCUUCAGAGACCCACUUGUGCUGGGUGAGACCUUCAAGUGAGACCUUGAAGCCUUGAGAGCAUUUUUUUGGAGAGAGGACCCUGACCUUUGCACCCUUGUUUUGGAUUUGAUAGCCAUCUGUUGCUUCUUGCUCCCAGCAGCUUCCUUCCUCUUCCAUAUUCUGUAGUCUCUGGGCCAUGGGAACUUCAUACAUAUUUUGAUUCAUUAGUUCUCUAUCCUGCCCAACUUCGGUAUAGGAAUCCCUAGUCCUACUGAAGAAGCCCCUCACUCCCAGGGCUAUGGGAUGUAUCCAGUUCCUACAAGUUCAUGUAUUUGAUCAGGGAGAGCUUAAGGAAGGCUGGUGUCUAGAGAGGUGUGGAUUCCAUGAGAUUUGCCCUGCUUGUCCCAGAAGAAGAGGGAAGCCUGGAAUAUCCUGGCCCUGCCCUUCCAGUUCAGUUUGGAAAAGCAGCAAUCUUUGCUUUAUCCUGCCCUAGCCUCUUCCACCAACCUUAUAUACAUGUGUUUUAUGGGUCUAAUUCUGAUGACUACCUACCUAGAAGAUUCAGACAAUGACCUGGAUAUCUGAUGGUGCUGAUGGACUGACUAUGAAUCCUGACUAACCUUGACCUACUCCCUGCAGCUAUACAGUAUACAGUCACACUUCAGUUUGUAGAUUAUGUUCUGAAAUCCGUGUGUAAGCCACAGUGAUACAGUUAAAAUUAGUCUUGAAAUGUCUCAUAAAAUACAUUAUAGUAUCUUUAAACAGUUAUAGCUGGAAAGGAGCUAGGGUCUCUUUGAAGGAAGGCAGUCUCUAUCAGAGAGUGAAGAAACUGAAGUUGUUACUAUAGAAAUAAUUGAAAAUAAAAUUUUAUUUUUCAUUAUAUUCAACUUAACUGUUGGUCAGGAAAGUAACUGGUCUCAAAGGAAAAAUAAAAGAUAUAUUCUUAACUAGUAAUGAAAACCAAUGGCAUGGGGAAAACACUUUUUUUACAGUGUAAAUACCUUUAAUCAGUUGAUCAAUAAACAUUCAUUCACUUAUUUA
Molecule: long non-coding RNA, 1175 nt
Organism: Phascolarctos cinereus (koala)
Lineage: Eukaryota; Metazoa; Chordata; Mammalia; Diprotodontia; Phascolarctidae
Source: RefSeq, a predicted model, not a curated record